AAAAAAAAAAAAAAAAUCUUUGAAGCCUUACUUCCAGAAGUAAAUCUACAACGAGAAACUUCACCGGCGACUAUCGUCGUCACGAAACCGCCGGUUAGCACCUUAAAUACCUAGAAAUCAAAAGCCAAACAGAAAACGAGUGGUUCUGCUUUCUGGGUUUCAUACAAUAGAUCAUUUACAAAGCAUAACUACCUGCUUUCACGAUGAAACGGCGACGUUUUGGUGCUUAAGGUUAUAUGUAUUGAUUGUUGCAUUUGUAUAGGUAGG
RNAcentral lists this unclassified non-coding RNA (267 nucleotides) under Hevea brasiliensis (rubber tree). The record is from RNAcentral. Lineage: Eukaryota; Viridiplantae; Streptophyta; Magnoliopsida; Malpighiales; Euphorbiaceae.